Non-coding RNA from Caenorhabditis elegans, 21 nucleotides. NCBI's taxonomy places the organism in Eukaryota, Metazoa, Nematoda, Chromadorea, Rhabditida, Rhabditidae. The record is from Ensembl.
UGCUCAAUUGAAAAAAACAGG